This 292-nucleotide ribosomal RNA is filed under the name uncultured bacterium. RNAcentral describes it as "partial 16S ribosomal RNA". It matches the Rfam family "Bacterial small subunit ribosomal RNA", at positions 505 to 796 of the family's 1533-position model. The record is from RNAcentral.
GUGCCAGCCGCCGCGGUAAUACAGAGGUCUCAAGCGUUGUUCGGAAUCACUGGGCGUAAAGGGUGCGUAGGUGGCGUGGUAAGUCAGAUGUGAAAGCCCAGGGCUCAACCCUGGAACUGCAUCCGAUACUGCCAUGCUAGAGAACUGAAGAGGAGUGUAGAAUUCUCGGUGUAGCAGUGAAAUGCGUAGAUAUCGAGAGGAAUACCAACGGCGAAGGCAGCACUCUGGGCAGUUUCUGACACUGAGGCACGAAGGCUAGGGGAGCAAACGGGAUUAGAUACCCCCGUAGUCC